This 1264-nucleotide small RNA is filed under the name Arabidopsis thaliana (thale cress). RNAcentral describes it as "ATSL101640". The record is from RNAcentral. Lineage: Eukaryota; Viridiplantae; Streptophyta; Magnoliopsida; Brassicales; Brassicaceae.
UUAUAAGAAGUUUAAUCUAUCAAAAAUAAUUAACAUCAUCAUAUAAUAUAUAGAAUUUAAAAAAAUCUCAAAAAUUUUUUUGUCAUAUUUUGUGAUUCGAAAUUUUAAGAAUGAACAUAUAUUAACCAAUUGGCGAAAAAUGUGUGGGUUCAACGUCCCGCAACGACUAAUAUAUUUUGACAAUGAUUCAUAAACUUAUUAUAAAUAAGAUCAAUAUUAAUAAAAUAAAUAGUUUUUUUGUGGACGGGUUUGGCAGGACGUUACUUAGUAACAAUGGUAAACUAUAAAAUAAUUUACAAAUUUUUAUAUAUAUUAAUUUUAAAAAAUGAAUUGUCUCCGCGGUGUACCGCGGGUUAAAAUCUAGUAAUAACUUAAAAUAAAGAACAAAAAUUACGUAUAAUUAAAUGUCUAAGAUAAAAAUGGAAUAUAAAAAUGUAAAAAUGCUUACCUAUCUAGUUUUAUUAAUGUAAGAAAACAUAUUUGUCUUGCUCUAUCAGCUUGCAAAGUUGCUUGUUACAUCGAAUGAAUUGUUUUCAAAUCAAAUAUUCCAACCAAUUUUUUAUUUGUUUUUAUGAUGAUAAUGAUCUUUUCUUAUAAUUAAACUCAUGUCACUUUUCAUAAUAUAAAUACUCAUUUUCUCAUUCUCUCAUCCUCUUUUACUAUAUUUCCUCUGGUACCCGAAGUCAACUUAAAAAUAUUCUGAUAUAUAUAAUAAUUUUUCGUACCAAAAAGAGUGGAACCCGAGGUACAUAGGAACUAAUCUUUGUAAUACUUGAUUAUUUGGCGCUAAAUAUACAUGAUCAUUUUUUAUUCCUGUGGUUUGUAGAAUAAUGAACCCAAAUCCGGAUGAACUUUAUCAGACCAAAACUAAAUUUUAUAUCCUAGAACAAAAGUCUAAAAAAUUAUAUGUCUCAUUAUCUUAUGUUUAUAAUAUCUAAAAUAUUUUGAAUCAUUUGGUGCUUAAUUCGCAACCGGUUGUAAGCUUUUUUUACAGUUGUUGUUUUCUCCUUAUUAAUAGAUUUGCAGUUUUAUUUUUCUCACGGGAUAUAAGCCAGUAAGCCACUCUAUUGAACCUUUGCAUUAAAAAAUGGAUACCAUCAAUAAUCAUGUCAAACUCUUAAUAAAUUUAACUAAUUAUUGCUAACUACUUCAAAAAAAAUAUGAUACUUAGUGCAUGAUUGGUUGGGUUGUAAGUCUCACUUAAAGCAUUAAUUUUUCUUAAAGCCUAGAUUACUUACCAAUAGUGUUGUAGUUUUUUUUUUUU